CUAUAGGUUUGGUACUCUGUCCACUGUCCCAUCCCAGCUGGGGCUCUGAGCUAGAAGACCAGACAAUUCUGAGAUAUCUUUGGGGUGACCCAACUCAGAAGACUCACUCCCCAACCCAAGUCUGCAAGGACCAACGCACAGGCCUGGGGGGCCGAGUGUCAUGGAUAUCAUAGGCAAGACUGUUGGUUCUACAUAUCUGAAAUCUGACUUAAAAGUGAUUUAAGCAGAAAGGAAUGAAUUGGCUCAAAUAAAGAAAAAGCCUUCAGGAAUAGCUGUAUCUAGGAGCCCAAUAUCUUCAGGGCUUUGUGUCUAUCUCUUGGCUUGCCUUUUCUCUUUGCUAGAGAUUCUUUGGCUGCCAACAGCACUAGCUUUCCAUCCAGGUAGACAGAGAACCAGGGGAGGGGCUGGUGGGCUCUCCAGAAUCAGGCAGAGCUCUCAAGUGGAGUCUCAAGGAAGACAUUCCGCCAACAAGGAAUGUUUGAUCUCAUUGAAGGGUCCACCCCCGGACCUUAACCAGUAUGCGGACAUGCCUCGUUCUUUGCAGGUGCCACAUCUGCCCCAUGCCUCAUCUUCAUCUUCCCUGCCAUCUUCUACUUCCGCAUCAUACCCACCGAGAGGGAGCCUGCAAAGUCUACCCCCAAAAUCCUGGCCCUUUGUUUCGCUGUGCUUGGCCUCUUGCUGAUGACCAUGAGCUUGAGCUUCAUCGUCAUUGACUGGGUGUCAGGGACCAGCCGGCAUGGAGGAAGCCACUAGGAGGAGACAUCCAUCCUGUUCUGACUACUCGUCCACGUACCCCUGCCCAGAGUCUUCAGCCCUCGCUCCCAUCUAGCCAAGGAGGAGGAGAAAGACGUGUUAACACUAUGGCAUUUGGCCCUGCCUCGCAUCCUCUCUGUGGAAGGUUUCUGUCAGAGCCAGGACCAACGCCCUAGAGCCACUCCCCUUCUGGGCUCCCGGGCUCCAGGGGCUGCCUGGGCUGAGAGCAGGGCAGGGCUGUACCCUUGCUCCCUCACUCCUGCCUCAGCUCCCACCCAAGCCUCUGUUCUCCUUUGCACAGAUGCGCACACGAGGCCCAGCAGCUGCCUCCCGAGGUCACACAGCCCGUAGGGCACGUAGAGCUGGAAACCAGGCCUGCAGCCAUCUCCCCACCGUGCUGCUGGGCCGUGGUCUGCACCCUGGGGCCUCAUCUCCCUCAGCUCACUCACCUCUUCCCACUUCUGUCCCUGAGGCCCCUUUCAGGCACUUGGACUCAGGCCCUUAGAUACUCUUGGCUCCUUCUCCCAUCCCCGUCACCAGAAGCAGACCAUUCCCCCCCACACCUGGAGCCAGCAGGUUCUUUUGAGUGUGAGGCUGGUGUGGGCACCCCCAAGGGACCCCUACCCUGUCCCUUCACCAGUCCUGGGGAGGCUGGGACUCCCCCCACCCCAAGCCUGGGCCAUAGCUCACAUUCCACUUCUGGGAGAAGAAAGAGUCUGGGGCCCGGAGUGUCUCUGUCCCCUGGGAGCCAAAGACCCCAGGGGCUGGUCUGGGGCAGGAGUGGAGAGGUGGUGGGCCCCCUUUUAUAAAUAUUAUACAUAAGACCAGC
Molecule: non-coding RNA, 1582 nt
Organism: Leptonychotes weddellii (Weddell seal)
Lineage: Eukaryota; Metazoa; Chordata; Mammalia; Carnivora; Phocidae
Source: RefSeq, a predicted model, not a curated record